Cydia splendana is the source of this 197-nucleotide long non-coding RNA. RefSeq lists it as uncharacterized. The record is from RefSeq and is a predicted model, not a curated record. NCBI's taxonomy places the organism in Eukaryota, Metazoa, Arthropoda, Insecta, Lepidoptera, Tortricidae. The transcript has 2 exons.
UUUUCAGUGCCUUUGCAUCACCCGAGCUCCACUGUCUAACCUAAAGAAGUAUGGAAACUUAAAAUUCAAGUUCAUUAAGGUAACGACGCCGCGCUACGUGACGGACGCGACCAACGGCACGACGACCGUCUGCCCGCCCUGCGUGUGCCCCAACUGCUGAGGAGUCAUGCCCAAUUUAUAAUAAAUUCUAUAAUUGA